Molecule: ribosomal RNA, 515 nt
Filed under: uncultured bacterium
Lineage: Bacteria
Description: partial 16S ribosomal RNA
Rfam family: Bacterial small subunit ribosomal RNA
Source: RNAcentral
AACGAACGCUGGCGGUAUGCCUAAUACAUGCAAGUCGUACGAGAAAGUCAGCAAUGAUGAGUAAAGUGGCGCACGGGUGAGUAACGCGUAGGUGACCUGCCUUUUAGAUCGGAAUAACAAAGAGAAGUCUUUGCUAAAACCGGAUGAGUUGAGCGAAUUUGGAAUUAGCUCAAGAAAUGUGGCCUCUUAACAAUGCUACAGCUAACAGAAGGGCCUGCGUGCCAUUAGCUAGUUGGUGGGGUAAUGGCCUACCAAGGCGAUGAUGGCUAACUGGUCUGAGAGGAUGAUCAGUCACACUGGAACUGAGACACGGUCCAGACUCCUAUGGGAGGCAGCAGUAGGGAAUAUUGCGCAAUGGGGGAAACCCUGACGCAGCAAUACCGCGUGAGUGAGGAAGGCCUUCGGGUUGUAAAGCUCUGUCCUUAGGGAAAAAUGGAUUAUUAUCGAAUAGAUAGUAGUUUUGAUGGUACCUGAGAAGAAAGCACCGGCUAACUUCGUGCCAGCAGCCGCGGUAA